RNAcentral lists this unclassified non-coding RNA (2747 nucleotides) under Lytechinus variegatus (green sea urchin). RNAcentral's name for it is "cytochrome P450 2J4-like, transcript variant X1". Lineage: Eukaryota; Metazoa; Echinodermata; Echinoidea; Temnopleuroida; Toxopneustidae. The record is from RNAcentral.
AUAAAAUCGACUUCGACCCCGACGCAAGACCAUUGCCAGAACAAAUAACAAUCGGUAACAAUCCCUAGCUGGCACGAGUGCCUGGAUUAAAAAAAAAUUGCAUGCCCAGACUGGGCGUAGGUUAAGCGGAUGUAUUCAUGCCUUACCUUAUGUGUAAAUAAUAGCUGUACUGUGAAUUCUUCAUUCUUGUGUUAUCAUCGCAUGAUCAUCGGCAUCCGUUACUAAAUGUUACACGAACACACUCCUCACAUGAAGGAUGGAACCAAUUAUUCUAUUCUUGAUGACUGCAACUGUUGGACUGCUCACAGUCUGGAUUAUCAAACAAUUGUUGAUAGGGCGUCCAAAGAAUCUACCACCCGGUCCAUCAUGGAUUCAGAUUGUUGGUAUAGCGUGGACAGCAUGCAGGGCUGGAUUGAACCCUCUGACUGUCUUAUCAUCAUGGGCUAAGAAGUACGGUGAGAUCGUGUCCUUCUACGUUGGCACGAAGCCUUUCGUCAUCCUCAACUCGUAUCCAAUAAUCGUAGAGGCCUUCCGACAUCCUGAUCUUCAAGGUCGACCACAAAGUAGAAUGCGGGAAGAGGUUGUCGGGCCUGACUGCAAAGGUGUGGUUUUCGCUAGCGGUCUGGUUUGGAAGGAGCAACGUAAGUUCGUCCAUUCUGUUUUCAGGAGUCUGGGUGUUGGCAAGAAGAGCUAUGAAGAUACCGUUCUAGCCGAGAUGACUCAGCUCUGUACGAACAUUGAAGAGAAGAGGGGUUCUCCUUUUGGUCCUAGUAUUUUCUUUAUGCAAGCGAUUUCAAACAUCAUUUGCUCUGUGGUCCUUGGAACUCAGUACAAGUACGAUGACGCCGACUUCCAACAGAUAUUACAAAUUCUGAACGAUAAUAUAAGGCAGUCGGGAGCCGGUGGAACACUCUUCUUUCUUCCUCUUCCUGGAAUUUCAAAGAUUCCAUUCGGAAAGGUAAAAACCAUGGUGGAUAACUUUAAGACGUUCCAAGCCUUUAUUACGUCACAGAUAGAAUCUCACGAAGCGAAUUUUGACCCGUGCAAUCCGAGGGAUUUCGUCGACCAAUAUCUUAUCAAGAUGUCAGAAAUUGAGGACACCAAUUCGCCGUUCACCAAGAUGAACUUGAAUAGCUGUAUCGCAGACCUUUUCAUAGCUGGCUCCGAAACCACGGCCACGACCCUAUCGUGGUGUAUUCUCUUCAUGAUGGCCUACCCGGAGGUUCAAUCACGUGUCCAAGAAGAACUCGAUCACGUGAUCGGCAGAGAACGUCUUCCAAGGCUGAAUGACCAGGGGAAUCUUCCUUACACCUGUGCUGUACUAAUGGAGAUACAGCGAAAAGGCGUCAUCGCUCCACUAGGUGUGCCUCAUCUGGCUUCUGCUGACACCGCGAUAGGAGGCUAUACCAUACCAAAGGGCGCCACCGUUGUGUCUAACAUCUUCGAAGUUCUGAACAACGAGGAUCUGUGGAGAAACCCUGACGCCUUUGAACCUAGGAGGUUCCUCAAUCAAAAAGGAGAGGUCGUAAAGAGAGAUGAAUUGAUAUUUUUCAGCACGGGUCGCCGUGUGUGUCUUGGAGAACAGCUUGCCAGGAUGGAGACAUUCUUGGGUUUUACCAGUCUCCUUCAACGAUUCACCUUCAAGAAACCCGACAGUUCACCUGCCCUUUCUUUUGAUGGUGUCGUAGGCGUGACUCGAAACCCCCAACCUUAUCUGACAAGUGCAACUCCAAGAUACUGACAUUUCUUUCUAUUCAAGUCAACUUUUUUGUUGGGGUGGACUUGUCCUUUGUGUGAGGAAGUACUUCUCCUUUUCCUGUAGCUUCAUGAUCGAGUGUGCAACAUUAUACAUCGAACUCUAUCCAGUCUCUAUCAAGACGUCUUCGAGCCCUAUUAUCUCUUGGUGGUAAAGUGAACGGUUUGUCAUUGGACCGAAAUAACCAUAAUAAUAAUUAUAGGAACAAGAAAUCCUAUUUAAUAUUUCCAAAAUCUCAUGCUUUCAAGCUUCAAACUAUCAAAAUUUAAAGUAAUAAUUUGUGUGUAUUUUUUUUUGCAUUAGUAUAUUUUAUUUUGCUGACAUGUUUUACUUUUCUACAGAAUAUAAGAAUUUAUUGUAAGAUUGUUCUAGAUUAAGGUCUUUAUAGCUAUGUAAUCAUUUAUUCGCCCUGCAUUAUUAUCUGUAUUAGUCUUUCCUGUCUCUGCAUUAAUGCGUCAUUGCCUAUGCUAAUAUCAUACACCAAAUUAUAUGAGCCUAGGUUAGGGUAAACCAAAGUUAUCGCUUUCACAAGGACUUCAGAAUAAGAUGAAAGAAUGUCACUGUGAUCUUGACCUUUGACCUCAAAAUCAGUAGGCUUCCUGUGAUCCAUGCAAGUACGCACACCAACUUAUAUGAGCCUUGGUUAAGUUAAACUGAAGUUAUCUCGAUUGCAAGGACUUCAGAAGGGUAAGAUGAAAACAUGUCACUGUGAUCUUGACCUUUGACUUUCUGACCUAAAAUCAAUCGCUUCCUAAGGAUCUAUACUUGUAUCAUAUACACCAAAUAAUAUGAGCAUAGGUAAAGUUAAACUGAAGUUAUCGUGUUUACAAGAAAAAGUUAACGGACAGACGUAGACAGACGGACAUCUAGUGUGAUACCGUCCAAUCCUACCGGCGCACAGUGGGCCGGGGCGAAACAAAAGUGCGCCAAAAGUCAUUUUGGGCAAUUUCAGAUUUUUAAUUUUUGUCAAGCCCAGCUGAAAGACAAUACU